Molecule: ribosomal RNA, 1343 nt
Filed under: uncultured bacterium
Lineage: Bacteria
Description: 16S ribosomal RNA
Rfam family: Bacterial small subunit ribosomal RNA
Source: RNAcentral
GACGAACGCUGGCGGCGUGCUUAACACAUGCAAGUCGAACGGAAAGGCCCUGCUUUUGUGGGGUGCUCGAGUGGCGAACGGGUGAGUAACACGUGAGUAACCUGCCCUUGACUUUGGGAUAACUUCAGGGAACUGGGGCUAAUACCGGAUAGGAGCUCCUGCUGCAUGGUGGGGGUUGGAAAGUUUCGGCGGUUGGGGAUGGACUCGCGGCUUAUCAGCUUGUUGGUGGGGUAGUGGCUUACCAAGGCUUUGACGGGUAGCCGGCCUGAGAGGGUGACCGGCCACAUUGGGACUGAGAUACGGCCCAGACUCCUACGGGAGGCAGCAGUGGGGAAUAUUGCACAAUGGGCGGAAGCCUGAUGCAGCAACGCCGCGUGCGGGAUGACGGCCUUCGGGUUGUAAACCGCUUUCGCCUGUGACGAAGCGUGAGUGACGGUAAUGGGUAAAGAAGCACCGGCUAACUACGUGCCAGCAGCCGCGGUGAUACGUAGGGUGCGAGCGUUGUCCGGAUUUAUUGGGCGUAAAGGGCUCGUAGGUGGUUGAUCGCGUCGGAAGUGUAAUCUUGGGGCUUAACCCUGAGCGUGCUUUCGAUACGGGUUGACUUGAGGAAGGUAGGGGAGAAUGGAAUUCCUGGUGGAGCGGUGGAAUGCGCAGAUAUCAGGAGGAACACCAGUGGCGAAGGCGGUUCUCUGGGCCUUUCCUGACGCUGAGGAGCGAAAGCGUGGGGAGCGAACAGGCUUAGAUACCCUGGUAGUCCACGCUGUAAACGGUGGGUACUAGGUGUGGGGUCCAUUCCACGGGUUCCGUGCCGUAGCUAACGCUCUAAGUACCCCGCCUGGGGAGUACGGCCGCAAGGCUAAAACUCAAAGGAAUUGACGGGGCCCCGCACAAGCGGCGGAGCAUGCGGAUUAAUUCGAUGCAACGCGUAGAACCUUACCUGGGUUUGACAUGGAUCGGGAGUGCUCAGAGAUGGGUGUGCCUCUUUUGGGGUCGGUUCACAGGUGGUGCAUGGCUGUCGUCAGCUCGUGUCGUGAGAUGUUGGGUUAAGUCCCGCAACGAGCGCAACCCUUGUUCACUGUUGCCAGCACGUUAUGGUGGGGACUCAGUGGAGACCGCCGGGGUCAACUCGGAGGAAGGUGGGGAUGACGUCAAGUCAUCAUGCCCCUUAUGUCCAGGGCUUCACGCAUGCUACAAUGGCUGGUACAGAGAGUGGCGAGCCUGUGAGGGUGAGCGAAUCUCGGAAAGCCGGUCUCAGUUCGGAUUGGGGUCUGCAACUCGACCUCAUGAAGUCGGAGUCGCUAGUAAUCGCAGAUCAGCAACGCUGCGGUGAAUACGUUCCCGGG